CAGUAAGCUGAAAUCGCACAGCUACACUUCAGCCUGGGUGACAGAAUGAGACUCUGCCUGAAAAACAAAAAAACGGUUCUAAAGGAGGUUGAGACAAUCUAUUGCAUGGCAUUUAAGGUAUUUUGUGGCUUUGGCAACACUGAGUGAAGCAGGCUCAUUCCCUGCACUGAAGGAACUUAUCAGUGUGCGUUUCUCUUAGUUCAGGUGGUUCAAAAGUGAGGGUGAGAGACGGGAUGUAAGCAACAUGGCGGAAUACGAAGCUCCUGACUCUUUCCAUCCACGGACACAUGAAAUACACGCCUAUUUACAGACUAUCCCCUCUGAAAGUGAGAAACUAGUUGAGAGACUGCUGAUCACCAGGCAACGGAGAAAACAUCUGUCUUAAACAGUACGUGUGUACUCAAGCUUUACGGGAACUUUUGUGAGCUUCAGUUUGGUCAGAGAGGGAAGAGAAAAUACUCCAAACAAGGCCUUGCAGUGGAAGAAGGAAGAGGGAUGAUGUGGAGUCUCCCUGAAACCAGUGGACAGAUUUCCUCAGAAAACUCUUCCUGCUUAGGUAAUCAGUGAGUGUAUCCACCACUGCAAAACACAGUGCCAUUACCAUUUAAUCUGUCAUUGUAGGUACGGUGGCUGUAUUAGGAGGUGAGAUUAUCCCGGGGGGGGGGGAAAUCCUGAAAGCUAUUAAUAAUGAUUCUGUAGUUAUUUGAAGAUAAUGAAAGACAUUACUCCGAGGAAUUAUCUGUGAUAGAUGGACAAAGUUAAGAUCUCAGUAAAGUUUGAGCCUGAAUACUAAAGUAUGAAAAGUGAAAGAAUGAAGUUAAGCACGUGGUUGUAUUGGGAUCUUGACCACACUUUGUCCACAGAAUGUGACUCUUUUUUCCUGAAAAUGCUGAGCAGUUGUGAAGUUGUGCUGUCUUGAUAAUUCACUGUUAAAAUAUACAUCCAAGAAACACCUACAAGCUCUGAGUAGGUGCUUUUCAGAUGUAUUAGUAGUGUGAGAGACAUCACUAAUAAAGUUUCCAAGAUUCUAUA
Molecule: non-coding RNA, 1032 nt
Organism: Macaca mulatta (Rhesus monkey)
Lineage: Eukaryota; Metazoa; Chordata; Mammalia; Primates; Cercopithecidae
Source: RefSeq, a predicted model, not a curated record